RNAcentral lists this ribosomal RNA (494 nucleotides) under uncultured bacterium. RNAcentral's name for it is "partial 16S ribosomal RNA". It matches the Rfam family "Bacterial small subunit ribosomal RNA", at positions 28 to 506 of the family's 1533-position model. The record is from RNAcentral.
GACGAACGCUGGCGGCGUGCCUAAUACAUGCAAGUAGAACGCUGAAGGAGGAGCUUGCUUCUCUGGAUGAGUUGCGAACGGGUGAGUAACGCGUAGGUAACCUGCCUGGUAGCGGGGGAUAACUAUUGGAAACGAUAGCUAAUACCGCAUAAUAGUAGAUGUUGCAUGACAUUUGCUUAAAAGUUGCAAUUGCAUCACUACCAGAUGGACCUGCGUUGUAUUAGCUAGUUGGUGGGGUAACGGCUCACCAAGGCGACGAUACAUAGCCGACCUGAGAGGGUGAUCGGCCACACUGGGACUGAGACACGGCCCAGACUCCUACGGGAGGCAGCAGUAGGGAAUCUUCGGCAAUGGACGGAAGUCUGACCGAGCAACGCCGCGUGAGUGAAGAAGGUUUUCGGAUCGUAAAGCUCUGUUGUAAGAGAAGAACGAGUGUGAGAGUGGAAAGUUCACACUGUGACGGUAUCUUACCAGAAAGGGACGGCUAACUACGU